This 1576-nucleotide long non-coding RNA is filed under the name Homo sapiens (human). RNAcentral's name for it is "HSALNT0335818". The record is from RNAcentral. Lineage: Eukaryota; Metazoa; Chordata; Mammalia; Primates; Hominidae.
ACUAGCGCGGCGGCCGCCGGCCCGCAAUGGUGCUACCCUGGUUGCUGCUCGAGACUGCGCGCAGGGCGGUCCUCGGGUCCGCGGAGGCUGCGCUCUGCGGUGAGCUUGGUGGUCCCUGGGGAAAGGGAGAGCGCCUAACCUUAGACUUCAGGCAAGGGUUAACAUUGGUGGGGGUGCUCGCUUCUUUAGACUUCCAGUUAAAAGUCAGACCCAUCACUCUUGGCACCUGGGGAUGUAACACCCACCUGGGGAAGAUUUCGGGCUACCCGAACCUGUGGGCGCUCUGGGGACGCAGGGACAGAGCCAUGAAAAUGACAGAUGAAAAUAGAAAAGUGUGGCUGGUCUGAAGGUUUGACGUCAAUAAAGGGAAACUGCCACAAUUUUUAUACUGCUAUUUCUAAAGAUGUCACUUAUAAGGAACUUAAAAACCUGUUGAAUUCUAAAAAUAUUAUGUUAAUUGAUGUUAGAGAGAUAUGGGAAAUUCUGGAGUAUCAAAAAAUCCCUGAGUCUAUCAAUGUACCAUUGGAUGAAGUAGGUGAAGCUCUACAGAUGAAUCCAAGAGACUUCAAAGAGAAGUACAAUGAAGUAAAACCAUCCAAAUCUGACAGCUAGUGUUUUCUUAUUUAGCCGGAGUGAGAAGCAAGAAGGCCCUGGACACAGCAAUAUCUCUGGGCUUUCACAGUUCUGGAGGUCAGAAGUCCUAAAUGUCAUCCUUUCCUUUCACUGGUGUGCCACAGCAAGAUGGUGGUGCAGUUUUUCAAGAAGAGGAAGUUUGUCAUUGAUGGUAUCUUCAAAGCUGAACUGAAUGAAGUUCUCAUUCAGGAGCUGGCUGAAGAUAGCUACUCUGGAGUUGAGGUCUGAGUUACACCAGCUAGGACAGAAAUCUUUACCUUAGCCACCAGAACACAGAAUGUUCUUGGUGAGAAGGGCUGGCAUAUUUGGGAAUUGACUGCUGUAGUUCAGAAGAGGUUUGGCUUUUCAGAGGGUAAAGUAGAGCUUUAUGCUGAAAAGGUGUCUACAAGAGAUAUGUGCCAUUGUCCAGGCAGAGUCUCUGUGUUACAAACCCCUAGGAGGGCUUGCUGUGCAGAAGGCCUGCUAUGGUGUGCUGCGGUUCAUCAUGGAGUGUGGGACUAAAGGCUUCAAGGUCAUUGUGUCCAGGAAACUCUGAGGACAGAGGGCUAAAUCCAUGAAGUUUGUGAAUGGCCUGAUGAUCCACAGCUGGGACCCUGUUAAUACUAUGUUGACACCGCUGUGCACCAUGUGCUGCUCCAACAGGCUGUGCUGGGCAUCAAGGUGAAGGUCAUGCUUCCCUGGGAACCAGCUGGUAAGAUUAGCCCUAGGAAGUCCCUGCCCGACCAGGGGCAGGGGACCCAUCUUUGGGUUCGUGGAACCCAAAGAUGAGAUACUCUCCACCACUCCCAUCUCAGAAGAGAAGGGUAGGAAGCCAGAGCCACCUGCCAUGUCCCAGCCAGUCCCCACAGCAUAACAGGGUCUACUUAGCAGCUGUGUCUGGAGUCUGGAUGUUGUUCUGUAAAGAACUUUAAUAAAAUCUUGUACAAAGAAAAAAGUCCUAAAG